Molecule: long non-coding RNA, 586 nt
Organism: Haplochromis burtoni (Burton's mouthbrooder)
Lineage: Eukaryota; Metazoa; Chordata; Actinopteri; Cichliformes; Cichlidae
Exons: 2
Source: RefSeq, a predicted model, not a curated record
AAGCACACGAUAGCAUCAGCAAUGGUACUCACUUGCUGUGUUGUCGGUUGUAAUGUUAGAUCGCACGAUCGGUAAGGGAAGAAGCUGGAAAAUGAGCUCUCUUUUUAUUCUCUCCCCACCUUGAAGCAACGUGAGGGAGCGUAUGUAUCGGAUGUUACCAAAAGAAGGCAUCUAGCCUGGAUAGCAGCUGUGAGACGAGCUGAUAUCCAGUUCUCUACCAUCUCCAGAUAUCUGUUGGUGUGCUCCAGACAUUUUCAUCCAGGCAAACCAGCCUGUGAAAUGGAUGAAACACAUCGUGACUGGGCUCCAACUGCGUUUUGGUGAACAUGUUCCCCAGUGUGGUAGUAAAACCAGGGAAAAAUGCUCUCGUUAAAUACUCUUAAAGGUCUUGUGCUGUAUAUGUAGUGAUCCGUUUUCAAAAGAGACAGUAAAUGACAGAAUGCUAGUAGCAGAUGAUAUUAUUUAAAUGCUGUCAUGAUUUUAUGUGAACAUUUUGUCAUUUGUAAACUAUAAACAACAUGGAUUCUACAUUGUAACUGAUGUGAUGUUCUACAAAGUGCUUUUGAUAAUAAAAAAAAGGCAAACA